RNAcentral lists this ribosomal RNA (371 nucleotides) under uncultured organism. RNAcentral describes it as "partial 16S ribosomal RNA". It matches the Rfam family "Bacterial small subunit ribosomal RNA", at positions 527 to 896 of the family's 1533-position model. The record is from RNAcentral.
GGAGGGUGCAAGCGUUGUUCGGAAUUAUUGGGCGUAAAGAGCGUGUAGGCGGUUCGGUAAGUCAGAUGUGAAAGCCCUGGGCUCAACCCAGGAAGUGCAUUUGAAACUACCAGACUUGAGUACGGGAGAGGAGGGGGGAAUUCCCGGUGCAGAGGUGAAAUUCGUAGAUAUCGGGAGGAAUACCAGUGGCGAAGGCGCCCCUCUGGACCGAUACUGACGCUGAGACGCGAAAGCGUGGGGAGCAAACAGGAUUAGAUACCCUGGUAGUCCACGCCGUAAACGAUGAGCACUAGGUGUAGCGGGUAUUGACCCCCUGCUGUGCCGUAGCUAACGCAUUAAGUGCUCCGCCUGGGGGCUACGGUCGCAAGCUA